UGAAAAAGCCUUUGGCUCAAGGCACUC
RNAcentral lists this non-coding RNA (27 nucleotides) under Mus musculus (house mouse). The record is from RNAcentral. Lineage: Eukaryota; Metazoa; Chordata; Mammalia; Rodentia; Muridae.